ACCCGCGCUCCAGCUGCAUUUCCGCCGGCUCUGGGCGGAAGAGGAGCUUCCUGCUGCAGUAGUCGCCUGGCCGUUUCUCCCGAGCCGUCCACGCCGCCGGUUUCCAUCUCCCGCAAUCCCUAGACAUCCGCAGCUUCCCGCACUGUCGGCUGUGUCUACGGCCGCUGUCCCGCGCCAUAGGUCGCGGCUGCCCGGGGUGAGUCCACUGUGGGGAUCGCUGGGCGCGUGGUAUGCCCCCCACCACCUUUCGGGGAAACUGAGGCCCGAGGAGUCGGGGAGAGCCGGCGGAGGUCAGCCGCGGUUCCAGGCCUCGCCCCUGGGUUCGGGCCCAGCUCCUCCGUCGGUGCGGACCUCUCGGGAUGCGUGUCCCGGGUCGGAUCGCUCGCCCUCAGCCCCCCUCACCCCUCCGCCGGGAAGACUCGGGUCCCGCCAACUACCAGAAGCGGGUCCGGCGACGCGCAGACCGAGUGCCGCCGCCAGUGGUGCGGAGCCCCGUGUGGCCCCGGGCCUGAAGAGCUCCCGGGGCCGCGUGAUUUUCACGCACACACCCACCUCCGGCUCUGGGCCUCGAAUCCCCCAAAGCGCUUCAUCGGUUGCCCACGAAGUGACCAUGUGAGCGUUAACCCGUUUCCUUGUCAACAAACAGCCUUUGAGAGAAAGCGUUAAAACCCCCGUUGUGCAGAGCGGUUGCGUGAGUUUUCAAUUGGGGGCGCUCGCGGGGCCCCAGGGCGGCAGAGGCCGAUUCCGGUGUCUUUGUUUUGCACUAAAGCCCCUUCCCGGUGCUGUCUCCUGCGUAGGCGUUGCGGGCUCUGAGGCUCUGUUGGAAGCAGAUGGAAACUCUCGGUUGGACGGCUUUGGGGGCUGUGCGUCAGGCAGCGCCCCCUUCGUUGCUGCAGGACCCUGAGCCGCAGCGCCGGAUGUGCCCCCGCGGUGUCCAGGGGGUGAGGCCUGGGAGUGGGUCGUGACUGCUGUGCCAUGUUUGUGAAAGGCGACCUCAGGGAGAAGAACGUGGAUCGGGAGGUCCCAGGUGGAUCUGCAUGUCCAGAGGCUCCAUGAGAGGUGUCUUACAGCCAGGCGCGAGGCCACAAAUGCCCCGAGGUCAGCCUUCGAUCCGGAGGCUGUUGAAGUAAGUCCCAAGGCCGUGAGUCAUUGACCCUCGGGAUGACGUGGGAUGUGUGUUCGCUGAGACUUUUCUCCGAGGUUCUCUCGGUGCCAUUAGUAGUCACCAGAGGGGCAGAGAAUGGAGAGGGAGUCCUCUAUGCGAAGCAUCCCCAGAGUACCCCGUGCUGUCCGCUCAGAGCACCUCGGAGCAGCUCUUGGCUCCGCGCGUGACAUCAGAGGGAAGGUGCUGGGGCUGCGGCCGGGUCCGCUCCAGCUGGCUCUGAGUCGGGACAGCUGUGCCCUGAGAAGCCGUAGACGGGAGGUCAGCCCCGUGUCCCUCUGCUGUGUCUGGAAUGACUUGAAUGAGCGAACGUUUUCCUCUCGCAUUCCAGCUGCUCAUCACUUUCCCCUCUGCCUACUCAUUCAAUAAACCUUACGGACUUGC
Long non-coding RNA from Prionailurus viverrinus (fishing cat), 1546 nucleotides. RefSeq lists it as uncharacterized. Lineage: Eukaryota; Metazoa; Chordata; Mammalia; Carnivora; Felidae. The record is from RefSeq and is a predicted model, not a curated record. The transcript has 5 exons.